GAAGCGGGGGCUGGAGGUGCCAGGGACCAAAAACUCUUCGACGCUGAGCCUCCGCCCGCAUCCCACGAGACUGGUGUUAAUUGGGCCACAUCGCCAAUCAUUACGUUAACUCCGGACACGGUGUGGAUCCUAAACCCUUUUUUCCUCCAAGUUAUCAUCAUUGGUUAACCUAACCUACCAGGGACAACGGACAGCGUGUAUACUUGGGAGUGGAGAAUUUCCGGGGCUUGCUCUCCGAGAGAUGCU
This 246-nucleotide long non-coding RNA is filed under the name Felis catus (domestic cat). RNAcentral's name for it is "lncRNA (ENSFCAG00000049066.1)". The record is from RNAcentral. Lineage: Eukaryota; Metazoa; Chordata; Mammalia; Carnivora; Felidae.